UACGUAGGGUGCGAGCGUUAAUCGGAAUUACUGGGCGUAAAGUGUGCGCAGGCGGCAGAGCAAGUCGAGUGUGAAAGCCCCGGGCUUAACUUGGGAAUUGCGCUCGAAACUACUUUGCUGGAGUGUGGCAGAGGAAGGUGGAAUUCCACGUGUAGCGGUGAAAUGCGUAGAGAUGUGGAGGAACACCAAUGGCGAAGGCGGUUCUCUGGGACGGUACUGACGCUGAGACGCGAAAGCGUGGGGAGCGAACAGG
RNAcentral lists this ribosomal RNA (253 nucleotides) under uncultured bacterium. RNAcentral's name for it is "partial 16S ribosomal RNA". It matches the Rfam family "Bacterial small subunit ribosomal RNA", at positions 524 to 776 of the family's 1533-position model. The record is from RNAcentral.